UACGUAGGGGGCAAGCGUUGUCCGGAUUUAUUGGGCGUAAAGAGCGUGUAGGCGGCCAGGUAGGUCAGCUGUGAAAACUCGAGGCUCAACCUCGAGACGUCGGUUGAAACCACCUGGCUAGAGUCCGGAAGAGGAGAGUGGAAUUCCUGGUGUAGCGGUGAAAUGCGCAGAUAUCAGGAAGAACACUCGUGGCGAAGGCGGCUCUCUGGGACGGUACUGACGCUGAGACGCGAAAGCGUGGGGAGCGAACAGG
This 253-nucleotide ribosomal RNA is filed under the name uncultured bacterium. RNAcentral's name for it is "partial 16S ribosomal RNA". It matches the Rfam family "Bacterial small subunit ribosomal RNA", at positions 524 to 776 of the family's 1533-position model. The record is from RNAcentral.